Molecule: ribosomal RNA, 460 nt
Filed under: uncultured bacterium
Lineage: Bacteria
Description: partial 16S ribosomal RNA
Rfam family: Bacterial small subunit ribosomal RNA
Source: RNAcentral
CCUACGGGGGGCAGCAGUGAGGAAUAUUGGUCAAUGGACGAGAGUCUGAACCAGCCAAGUAGCGUGAAGGAUGACUACCCUAUGGGUUGUAAACUUCUUUUAUAUGGGAAUAAAAUGUUCCACGUGUGGGAUUUUGUAUGUACCAUAUGAAUAAGGAUCGGCUAACUCCGUGCCAGCAGCCGCGGUAAUACGGAGGAUCCGAGCGUUAUCCGGAUUUAUUGGGUUUAAAGGGAGCGUAGGUGGAUGGAUAAGUCAGUUGUGAAAGUUUGCGGCUCAACCGUAAAAUUGCAGUUGAAACUGGCAGGCUAGAGUACAGUAGAGGUGGGCGGAAUGCGUGGUGUAGCGGUGAAAUGCUUAGAUAUCACGAAGAACUCCGAUUGCGAAGGCAGCUCACUGGACUGCAACUGACACUGAGGCUCGAAAGUGUGGGGAGCAAACAGGAUUAGAUACCCUUGUAGUC